RNAcentral lists this transfer RNA (70 nucleotides) under Anacanthotermes sp. A MLW-2022a. RNAcentral describes it as "tRNA-Val". The record is from RNAcentral. Lineage: Eukaryota; Metazoa; Arthropoda; Insecta; Blattodea; Hodotermitidae.
CGGGCCAGUAUCUUUAGAGGGUUUCUUCGUUUACACUGAAGAAUUUGCCGUGCGAUUCGGUGUGGUCUGA